Molecule: long non-coding RNA, 1645 nt
Organism: Humulus lupulus (European hop)
Lineage: Eukaryota; Viridiplantae; Streptophyta; Magnoliopsida; Rosales; Cannabaceae
Exons: 2
Source: RefSeq, a predicted model, not a curated record
GGUGGAGCAGAAGCAAGACCAUUUGUUACCUACCAUAAUUCGCUAGGAAGGGAUCUUUAUUUGAGGAUAGCAACAGAGCUCCACUUGAAGAGGAUGUUGGUGAGGAUUUAGAGUAUAUUCAUUUUCUUUCGAGUGCUAUACUAACAUGCAUAAUCUCUUCAACCGCCCUCUGGUAUUUCCAAGGUGUAAUUUCUCGAGUUUAACUUGGUCAUUUUCCCGAAGUUGCUUUCUAAUUUUUAUUCAUUAGUUUGUGUGUAUAUGUCAAAUUUUAUCACUUCCAUGGCAGUAUUGUUUUUUAUUUUUGUUUGUUCUAAUUUAUUUUUGUUUUUUUCUUUUUGGUUUGUUCUACCAAACCUUUUCACUUGCAUGCACGUUUUUGGUUCCCAUUAUAAAAAAAAAAUCGACUAUCGUCAUUUACUUUUCUCUCCAUAUUAUACAUUUAUGGUUUUUAUUUCGUAAAGAAUCGGUAUUAUAUCUUGUUAUUAGCUUGUUGUUAUCUCAUCUCUUUAGGAGUAUUUCAACCGUUGUUUUCUUCUUCUUUGUGUUUGCUUUUAGUUUCCCUGGUAAUUAUUCCAAGUCAACUAAUACUCUUUUUUGGUGUAUACAUGACCUUUCUGCAUCUUCUUUGCCAUGCCACUUAGUCUCAAAUUUGGGUUUGUUGAAUUGGUUGUAGUGUCUUUUAUAGGGUUAUGUAUAUUCUUCCCCAUGCCAUAUAUGAUAUCAUGGUUUGUUUGGAUUGAGUCAUGUUUCUUUCUUGUUCAUUUUAUUUGGUUGUUAGUUGUAUUAUUGUUUUGCAUUAGUGACCCAGAUUCACAUUUCUUUCAAAAAUAGCUUUGAAAAUAUAUGUUAUAUCAACUCCAAAAAUUAAUGGGUUAUAUUUAUAUAUAUUUUCUUGUUUAUCUAUUUAUCUUUGACGUAUAUUAAAUAACAUAUAACAAUUGCUCAUGGUUGCCACAACUACUAUAUUGCAUUGUACUUUAACUUUCUGUUAUCUAGCUAACCCUUGAUUUCUCCUUUUAUGUUCUGCAUAAUUUUCUAUUUUUUUUACUAAUGUAAUUUGUACAUUUGUUAUGUGUGGAAUUGUGGUAGCUGAACCACAAUAUUGGAUCCAAGGGUUCUUUUAUGGGGUUUGGUUUCUUGGUUAUUUAUCUGAUUGUCUUUGUUUUAUGGUUAUUGUUUUUGUUCUAUUAUAUGUUUUGCUCUUCUUCUUUUUUUUUAGUUUGAGUUUCUAUCAGCAUUUUAUAUAGCAUCAUAAAAAAACCAUUGCAUUAGUAUUACUGUUAUUUACACAAAAUAGCAAACCAUGUUCUAGGGUCCUCUUUUUUCUCAAUGACGUGUCAGUAGCACAUAUUGAGGUAUCAUACAUUGUCAAUGAAAUUUUAGGAUAUUUAUCGUAUCAUGAUUGUCAUUUUUGUUGAACUUUACUAGCUCUAUGAUGUUCAAGGUGAGUAUCCAUUUGCAUUGUUUAUGAGUUGCACUAUAUUUUAUUUGAGUUCCGUAUCAAUUUGCUUUUUUUAUUGGUUGUAGGUUCGACCCAAGGAAUUCUAUGUUGGAGUGGUCCAUUCUACUUAUUGACAACUCGAACCGAAGUGGAUCAAUGGAGUUUGUUGUUCCCCCAACAGACUCAUCUGUAUUUUUCCCGAUU